AAGAAAAGAAAGCUAAAGUGGGUGACCUUGAUGAACUCGAAACUAAAGAGUUAAUUUCUCUUAAACACACCAUGUCAACCAUUUCUUGCAACUUGGAAAGUGUCUGGCUACAAAAAUCGAGAGUCACUCAGUGCAAAUUGGGGAAUUGCAAUACAAGGUUUUUUUUUCAUGUUCAAGCCUCAAAUCGCAAAAGACGAAACUUUAUCUGAAAGUUUCAACAUUCUAGCACGGCAUUAUCUGAUCCAUUAGACAUAAAAAG
This 259-nucleotide unclassified non-coding RNA is filed under the name Hevea brasiliensis (rubber tree). The record is from RNAcentral. Lineage: Eukaryota; Viridiplantae; Streptophyta; Magnoliopsida; Malpighiales; Euphorbiaceae.